GCUGGGUGUGAUGGCUCAUGCCUGUAAUCCUAGCACUUUGGGAGGCUGAGGCAGGAGGAUCACUUGAGCCCAGGAGUUGAAGACUGACCUGGGCAACAUAGUAAGACUCUGUCUCUACAAAAAAUAAAAAAUUAGCUGGGCAUAGUGGCAUGUGCCUGUAGUCCCAGCUACUGGGGAGGCUAAGGUGAGAGAAUCACUUGAGCCCAGGAGGCCAAGGCUGUGGUGAACAGUGAUCAUGCCAUUGCAUUCCAGCCUGGGCAACAGAGUGAGCCCCUGUCUCU
This 281-nucleotide small RNA is filed under the name Homo sapiens (human). Its description in RNAcentral is "Metazoan signal recognition particle RNA (ENSG00000278724.1)". The stretch from base 1 to 117 matches the Rfam family "Metazoan signal recognition particle RNA". Lineage: Eukaryota; Metazoa; Chordata; Mammalia; Primates; Hominidae. The record is from RNAcentral.